This 1504-nucleotide unclassified non-coding RNA is filed under the name Hevea brasiliensis (rubber tree). Lineage: Eukaryota; Viridiplantae; Streptophyta; Magnoliopsida; Malpighiales; Euphorbiaceae. The record is from RNAcentral.
GCAAAGUAUAGCAACUACACUACAUAUGGAGAAGCCAAGAGAGUCUCGCACGCAACAAAGGAAGGGCGUCACUCUAUUACUCUUUCCACUACCACUGCAAGGCCACAUAAACCCUAUGCUUCAACUUGCCAACAUACUCUACUCUAAAGGGUUCUCCAUCAUUAUAAUUCAUACCAAAUUCAACUCUCCAAAUCCUUCCAAAUACCCUCAUUUCACCUUCCGUUCCAUCCCAGAUGGCUUGUUCGAACACGAAACUUCCAGUGCAGAUGUUGUGCAUUUAGUUACACUGCUCAAUAUCAAGUGUAUUAGAUCAUUUCAUGAUAGUUUGAUUAAAUUGUUGUUGGAUGUUAAGGAGGAGCCUAUUGCUUGCUUGAUCACAGAUGCUGACUGGUACUUCACUCAAGCUGUUGCUGAUAGUAUGAAGCUCCCAAGGCUUGUGUUACGCACCAGCAAUAUUUCUUCCUUUCUUGUUUAUGCUGCUUUGCCACUUCUGCUGGAAAAGGGUUAUAUCCCCAUCAAAGAUUCUCAAUUAGAAGAGCCAGUGCCAGAGCUUCCCCCACUUAAGGUGAAAGAUCUUCCAGGAGUCAAAACAAGGGAUGUGGAGGAUUUUUAUCAUUUACUAGCAGAAUUAGUGAAUGAAACCAAGGCCUCUUCAGGAUUAAUUUGGAACUCUUUUGAAGACCUUGAGCAAGUUGAACUAAGUGCACUAUGUAAGGACUUUCCCAUUCCAAUCUUCACAAUAGGUCCAUUUCACAAGUACUUUCCAGCCACUUCAAGUAGCUUACUAACACAAGACAAAAGUUGCAUUUCUUGGCUGGACAAGAAAGCCCCAAACUCUGUACUCUAUGUGAGCUUUGGGAGUAUUGCAGAAAUAAAUGAGGCUGAAUUUCUGGAGAUAGCUUGGGGACUAGCCAAUAGCAAUCAGCCCUUCUUGUGGGUGGUUCGACCUGGAUUAGUCCUUGGCUCAGAAUGGCUUGAACCAUUGCCUGAUGGGUUCUUGGAGAUGAUAAGAGGAAGAGGACGUAUUGUCAAGUGGGCUCCCCAGCAGGAAGUACUAGCACGCCCUGCCAUUGGAGGGUUUUGGACACACAAUGGCUGGGAUUCAACAUUGGAAAGUUUAUGUGAAGGGGUCCCUUUGAUAUGUCAGCCCAAUUUCGGUGACCAAAUGGUAAAUGCAAGAUAAGUGAGCAAUGUUUGGAGAAUUGGAAUACAUUUAGAGAAAAAACUGGAGAGAGGGAAUAUAGAAAGUGCAAUUAAAACGCUAAUGGUGGAGGCAGAAGGGCAGGAAUUGAGAAUGAGGACUCUAAAUUUGAAGGAUAAAGCGGAUCUUUGUCUAAGGGAAAAGGGAUCUUCCUGCCAAAAUCUUGAGAAUUUGAUCAAUUACAUUUGAUCAUUAGCCUGCAAGGAUGCAACUUAUGUUCAAUGAUUUUUAGUAACAAAUAUUUGUUUAUGCAAUUAAGCUUUUGUUUAAGUUCAAUUUUUUCAUAAAAUUGUGCACUCAAUG